RNAcentral lists this ribosomal RNA (272 nucleotides) under uncultured Pseudomonas sp. Its description in RNAcentral is "partial 16S ribosomal RNA". It matches the Rfam family "Bacterial small subunit ribosomal RNA", at positions 1113 to 1382 of the family's 1533-position model. The record is from RNAcentral. Lineage: Bacteria; Pseudomonadati; Pseudomonadota; Gammaproteobacteria; Pseudomonadales; Pseudomonadaceae.
AGUUACCAGCACGUUAUGGUGGGCGACUCUAAGGAGACUGCCGGUGACAAACCGGAGGAAGGUGGGGAUGACGUCGAGUCAUCAUGGCCCUUACGGCCUGGGCUACACACGUGCUACAAUGGCCGGUACAAAGGGUUGCGAAGCCGUGAGGUGGAGCGAAUCUCAAAAAGCCGGCCUCAGUUCGGAUUGGAGGCUGCAACUCGCCUCCAUGAAGUCGGAAUCGCUAGUAACCGCAGAUCAGCUACGUUGCGGUGAAUACGUUCCCGGGCCUU